Ailuropoda melanoleuca (giant panda) is the source of this 733-nucleotide long non-coding RNA. RefSeq lists it as uncharacterized. The record is from RefSeq and is a predicted model, not a curated record. The transcript is spliced from 3 exons. NCBI's taxonomy places the organism in Eukaryota, Metazoa, Chordata, Mammalia, Carnivora, Ursidae.
CCCGGGUCCCCGGAGCCGCUGACUCAGCGGAGUGGAGCCAGCCCUUGGCGCCCCCGCCCCCACCCCACUCUCCCUGGAGACCCGGAGGCUGGCACCCGGGGAGGUGGGAGGUGCGAGCGCGCCGGCCCAGCCCUUCUUUUGUUCCCUAGGACAUUCCUUUGCUCCAGCCCUCCCAACCUGGAGAGUCUGCGGUUACUGUUUCAGGUUAUGUUUCGGGAAACUGACACCAAGUAAGCAGCCCUGAAACCUGGCUCCCGCCACGUCCUAGUUGUGGGUCUUCCGUAUGGCUGGAUCCAGGAGCUCAAAUGACAUCUUCCAUUCCUCUUGCUUCACAGGUUCUCUGUGUGGGGACCUGAAACCUUGUAAUUCUUCAUAUAUGUGUCCGUCUCUACCACCGGCCCCUGAAUUCCCCAGGGUCAGGGACGUCGUUGUCCACAUCCCCAUCCUCAGGAGCCGGCGCAGGGCCUGGCUUAGAGAAAUCGGAUGAUUGCUGCCCAUUCGCCGGACUCCAAAAUAGAAGGGAUCCCACGUGAAGAGCGCUUCCUUCCGACCACAACCAAAGCAACUGUACUUUUUCUCUUUAAUAUACCAGGCUUCCAAGUAGCUUCCCUCUGAGACCAGGUUUUCUGGUUUAAAAAAGUGAGAAGAGGGGCGCCUGGGUGGCACAGCAUUUGGGCAUCUGUCUUUGGCUCAGGGCAUGAUCCCGGCGUUCUGGGGUCGAGCCCCGCAUCAG